UCCACCCAAGAUAAGUAUCAUUUCCAUUCUCAAGUCAAAUAUUUCUUUUGGGAUGAUCCUUAUCUCUUUAAGACUUGUCCUAGUCAGGUAAUCAGAAGAUGUGUGCCCGAUCAUGAGCAACACUCGAUUUUAUCCUUUUGCCAUGAUCAGGCCUGUGGAGGCCAUUUGGGCCCAAUAAGACUGCGGCCAAAGUAUUACAGUGCAGAUUUUACUGGCCCAACCUGUUCAGGGAUGCAUUCAAUUACUAUAAGGCAUGUCCUUUAUGUCAGUAUUUAGGGAAGAUCACUAGAAGGAACAUGAUGCCACUCAACCCAAUCCUGGUAGUUGAGGUGUUUGACGUAUGGGGAAUUGAUUUCAUGGGCCCUUUCCCAAAGUCUUUUGGGAAUGAAUAUAUCUUAUUGGCUGUGGACUACGUGUCCAAAUGGAUUGAGGCCCAUGCUUAUAGGACCAAUGACCACAAGGUGGUCAUUCAAUUCUUAAAAGAGAACAUCUUCUCCAAAUUUGGUACCCCUAGAGCUAUCAUUAGUUGUAGGGGCAAGCACUUUUGCAAUAGGCCUUUUGAGUCCUUGGUUAAGAAGUAUAGGAUAACCCAUAAACUUACCACCCCCUACCACCCUCAGACCAGUGGAUAGGUUGAAGUAUCCAAUAGACAGAUUAAGCAGAUUCUAGAGAAAAUGGUUAACCCAAUCGCAAGGAUUGGUCCAACCGACUAUUAGAUGCGUUGUGGGCUUAUAGGAUUGCUUACAAGACCGCUCUUGGUCAAUCCCCGUACCGUCUAAUAUACAGGAAAGCCUUCCAUCUUCCAGUUGAAUUGGAACACUAUGCCUUUGGGGCUAUUAAGCAGCUCAAUUCUGAUCUGUCUGAGGCUAGUACUA
Long non-coding RNA from Telopea speciosissima, 875 nucleotides. RefSeq lists it as uncharacterized. The transcript has 3 exons. NCBI's taxonomy places the organism in Eukaryota, Viridiplantae, Streptophyta, Magnoliopsida, Proteales, Proteaceae. The record is from RefSeq and is a predicted model, not a curated record.